UGCUUCUGCAGCCGGUGCCGCCAGCAAGACAUCCGGACCGGACGGAUGGCCCCUGCGGCCCUGCCCGUGGGCGGCUGGCCUCUGAGUGGUUGAGUCCCUUCACUAUGCUAGUAUAAAAUUGACAAGAGACAAAAACUAAUAGCCUCUCAAGUAGUCUUGGCCCCUAAUCCAAUCCAGCUUCCACCAUUGCGAGAGAUCAUCAGAGGAUCGUCUCCAGUCGAAGCGAAAAGCGAAAAGGAGAAGGGGCGGGGGAUUGCGAGCCUGUGCUGAUGGCGGCGGCGGCGGUGGCCGCGGCGGGGAGCAGCAAUGUCGAGUUCAUCCGCGCGCGCAGCGACAAGCGGGAGUACCGCCGCGUGGUGCUCGCCAACGCGCUCGAGAUCCUACUAAUCAGCGACCCCGACACCGACAAGGCGGCGGCGUGCAUGGAGGUCGAGGUGGGCUCGUUCAGCGAUCCGGAGGGACUUGAGGGCCUCGCGCACUUCCUCGAGCACAUGCUAUUUUAUGCCAGCGAGAAGUAUCCUGGAGAACAUGAAUAUACGAAAUAUAUCAUAGAGCAUGGUGGCUCUUACAAUGCAUAUACAAGCUCCGAGACAACGAAUUUCUUUUUCGAUGUCAAUGUGGACAAUUUUGAAGAAGCCUUAGAUAGAUUUGCUCAGUUCUUCAUUAAGCCAUUGAUGUCACAGGAUGCUGUUCUUAGAGAGAUAAAAGCUGUGGAUUCUGAGAACACAAGAAAAAUUUGUUGUCUGAUGGCUGGAGGAUGUAUCAGCUUCAAUUUCAUUCUUUUUUCCUCUCAGCUUCAAAAGCAUUUUGCUUCAAAGGAUCACCCUUACCACAAAUUCAGUACAGGAAGUUGGGAAACACUAGAAACUAAACCAAAAGCGAGGGGCCUGGAUAUCAGACUUGAACUUCUGAAGUUUUACAAGAAUUAUUCAGCAAACGUUAUGCACCUUGUUGUUUAUGGAAAGGAGAACCUCGAUUGCAUUCAGGGCUUGGUUGAGCGUAUGUUUAGUGACAUAAAAAACACUGAUCAGAGAAGCUUGAAAUGUCCAAGUCAUCCUCUUUCAGAGGAACAUUUACAGCUUCUUGUCAAAGCACUGCCAAUAGUAGAAGGGGACUAUCUAAGAAUUAUAUGGCCAAUAACACCUAGCAUCCAGUUUUACAAAGAAGCUCCUUGCCAUUAUCUGAGUCACCUCAUUGGACAUGAAGGCGAGGGGUCCAUCUUCCAUAUUAUAAAGGAACUAGGAUGGGCCAUGAACUUAAUGGCUGGAGAGUGCAGUGACAGUAAUGAGUAUUCCUUUUUCUCAGUAAGCAUGAGGCUCACUGAUGCUGGCCAUGAACGCAUGGAGGAUAUUGUUGGGUUGAUCUUCAAAUAUCUUCAUCUAUUAAAAGAAGACGGAGUCCAUGAGUGGAUAUUUAAUGAGCUUGCGGCGAUAAAUGAAAUGGAGUUCCAUUAUCAAGACAAAGUCCGCCCAAUCAACUAUGUGAUGCGCACUGUCUCAACUAUGCGGUUGUUCCCACCAGAAGAAUGGUUGGUUGGAGCAGCAUUACCAUCAAAGUAUGCAUCACAGAGAAUAAAUAUGAUACUCAAUCAACUAAUACCUGAAACAGUAAGAAUAUUCUGGGAGUCCAAAAAAUUUGAAGGAUCUACGAGUUCUGCUGAGCCCUGGUAUAACACACCAUUUUCAGUUGAAAAUGUCACUCCUUCAGUUAUACAGGAAUGGAUUGAAAAAGCUCCUACUGAAAAACUCCAUCUUCCAAAACCUAAUAUUUUCAUACCAAAGGAUUUAUCUCUUAAAGAAGUGCAUGAAAAGGUUACUUUUCCAACAGUGUUAAGGAAGAGCCCACUUUCACAGUUGUGGUAUAAGCCUGAUAUGCUGUUCUCCACACCAAAGGUUCACAUUAUCAUUGAUUUCCACUGUCCAUUAUCCAGCCACUCCCCUGAAGCAGUUGUUGCUACUGAGCUCUUUGUUGAUUUGUUAGUAGAUUAUUUGAAUGCUUAUGCUUAUGAUGCUCAAAUUGCUGGUUUAUUCUAUUCAAUAUAUGUUACUUCAGCUGGAUUCCAGGUUUCUUUAGGUGGUUACAAUGACAAGAUGAGAGUUCUCUUAAAUGCCAUACUAGUGCAAAUUGUGAAAUUUGAAGUUAAGCCAAACAGAUUUUCUGCACUGAAGGAAACUUCUGUCAAGGACUACCAGAAUUUCAAUUUCCGACAACCUUAUUCUCAAGCGUCAUACUAUGUCUCUUUGAUAUUGGGAGAUAAAAAAUGGCCUGUAGCUGAGAAACUUGAAGCUCUUUCUAAGCUUGAAUCAGAUUAUUUUGCAAAGUUCGUACCACACCUACUGUCAAAAACAUUUUUGGAAUGUUAUGUUCAAGGGAACAUUGAACCAAGUGAAGCAAAAUCUAUCGUAGAAGAAAUCGAAAACACUAUAUUUACUACGCCCAAUUCUUUGUUCAAAUCCAUGUCUCCAUCAGAAUAUCUGAUUAAAAGGGUCAUCAUGCUUGAAAAUGACUUGAAAUGCUACUACCAAACUGAGGGAUUAAACCAGAAGAAUGAGAAUUCAUCAGUUAUCCAAUAUAUUCAGGUGCAUCAAGAUGACGCCAUUUUGAAUAUCAAACUUGAGCUGUUCUCUCUAAUAGCAAAACAGCCAGCCUUCAACCAGCUACGAACUGUUGAACAACUUGGGUAUAUAACAAGUCUUUCUCUGAGAUCUUAGCUUGCAAUGAUUGCCACAUUCUACAGAUCCGACUAUGGAGUCCUGGCACUCCAGGUUGUUAUCCAGUCCACAGUAAAGGAUCCUUCAUACCUCGAUGUUAGAGUUGAUGAGUUCUUUAAGAUGUUUGAAAGCAAAAUCUAUGAACUCUCCGACAAGGAUUUCAAGAGAAAUGUGAAAUCAUUAAUUGAUUCUAAACUGGAGAAGUUUAAAAACUUAUGGGAGGAAUCUCAUUUCUACUGGGGAGAGAUUGAGGCAGGAACUCUGAAGUUUGAUAGGGUCGAGUCUGAGGUCGCUAUGCUAAGAGAGCUCAAGAAAGAAGAAUUCAUCGAGUACUUCAACCAGUAUAUAAAAGUGGACGCGCCUCAAAGGAGGACACUAAGCGUGCAAGUCUUCGGCGGCAACCAUUUGGUAGAGUUCAAGAAGGCAAUCAACGAAGCCAACCCGCCCAAAAUGUACAGAAUUACAGACAUAUUCGGCUUCAAACGAUCGAGGCCGCUGUACAGCUCACUCAAGGGAGGUCCGGGCAGGAUCACCAUGGACUGACAGCCGGCAAUAGCAUGCCUUGUUUUUCAUGUAUGUAGUGUAAUGGCCAGUGCAUACGAAUGAUGAAUUCGAUUCUGAAUCCUGCUCCUGCAUCAGAUUCGGUUGCAUGAUUGAUCUAUACUUCACUGUGGGUUUCACGACCAGCGUGUCACUUUCUGGGCAAAAUCUAGGGAGCUGUAUAAAGUCAUGUAUGUUCACAUGUUUGUUUGCGUUUCUUCUCACAGCUAUGCAGUUUGUACAGUUACAUAUCCACAGUGAACUAGAACUAGAAGCGCGUCUUCUACACACCAA
RNA transcript from Zea mays, 3545 nucleotides. It is a transcript of the gene named insulin-degrading enzyme-like 1, peroxisomal, with no coding region annotated. NCBI's taxonomy places the organism in Eukaryota, Viridiplantae, Streptophyta, Magnoliopsida, Poales, Poaceae. The transcript has 26 exons. The record is from RefSeq and is a predicted model, not a curated record.